This 332-nucleotide ribosomal RNA is filed under the name uncultured soil bacterium. RNAcentral describes it as "bacterial SSU rRNA". It matches the Rfam family "Bacterial small subunit ribosomal RNA", at positions 26 to 353 of the family's 1533-position model. The record is from RNAcentral.
AGAGUGAACGCUGGCGGUAGGCCUAACACAUGCAAGUCGAACGGCAGCACAGUGGUAGCAAUACCAUGGGUGGCGAGUGGCGGACGGGUGAGGAAUACAUCGGAAUCUACCUUUUCGUGGGGGAUAACGUAGGGAAACUUACGCUAAUACCGCAUACGCCCUUCGGGGGAAAGCCGGGGAUCGCAAGACCUGGCGCGGAUAGAUGAGCCGAUGUCGGAUUAGCUAGUUGGUGAGGUAAUGGCUCACCAAGGCGACGAUCCGUAGCUGGUCUGAGAGGAUGAUCAGCCACACUGGAACUGAGACACGGUCCAGACUCCUAACGGGAGGCAGCA